CAGUUGUGGAAGACAUCGCUCUGGUGGAAUGAGCUGUGAUAGUUUCAGGUAAGUCUUUGUCAUAUAAUGUAUAACAUGUUCGAAUACAGGAGAUGAUCCAUUUCAAAAUCCUCCGAGAUGAAACUGCUUGUCCUUUGGAUCAUUCAGUGUAGGACAAGAACAGCCUAGGGGAGACUCGCCAGGGUAUGGUUCGGUCCACAUAAAAUGCCAGUGCUCUACGGACAUCGAGAGUGUGCCAUGCGGCCUGAACUGGAUCGGCAUGUGGUUUAGGAAAAAAGGCAGGUAUUUUCAGCAUCCUGGAGUCAGGCAUGGAGAUGAAGCUUGUAGAGUUCUGGAUGGAGAGUCCUCCCAUAAUUCUGUGACAGGAGGUCAUGAUGGAGUGGCAAGGGAUACAGGUCUAUCAUUGCCAUCUUGUGAAGGUGGGUGGGUUGCGGAGGACUGUUGUUGGUGUUGUCGUUGGGGUCUGCGACAUUGGAGUCUUUGUUUCUGAUGGAAGUCAUAUCUGGUCUGUUGUCCGAAGGGCUCCCUGGGCCUCUGAAGUCAAAGAGAAAAGAGAGGCUCCAUCUGCUGCCGAGGACGGUAGAGAAGGAACUGAGGAGCCGCGCCAUGCACGCACCUAACGGAUUCCAAUGACACAAGGGGGUGCUGCGGAGUGUGCACGGCACAGAAGAAACUGCUAGAAAAGUCUCCGGUCACCAACACAAGGACACACCAGCACCCAGAAUGGUGCACCCACAGGGACCACUCAAAGGAGAAAGGAUUUUCUCCUGCAAAGAUCUCAUGUGCCAUUCCUCAAAAGCAGUUAUGUCUGGGUCUCUCCAGUGCUCAAGUUCCCAGGUUUUUAAUGUUUAUCUGGCAUGUCUUGAAGUUGGCCCUCCAGGUAUCUUUAUACAUGAAAGAUGGUCAACCUCAAAAGGGGAUUUCCAUGUUCACUUGGCAGUUGACCACCACUUUCAAUAUACAGGACCACAUGUUCAACCCUAUGAGCAUGCUCUCAGUGCCAAGAAUUUGGCAUCUCUCCAGAACAUCAGUGUUGGGGAGCCUGUCCUGCUACUUGAUGUUGCAGAUAGAUCUUAGGCAGUAAAGAUGCAAGUUCUCCAUAUAGGAGCAAGGUGAAUAUAGCAGUGUGAUAGAUUUUUAUCUUGGUUCUGAGGCAGACCACACAUCCUUCAGAGCCUGUGAGUGUGCCUGCUGAAUGCUAAGCUGGCCUCUGCCAGGCAACAAAGCAUUAUAAGUAUGCACAUCAUCCAUUCUUUGAAAGGUGCCACUCCUGUUCUGGAAUCAUGUUUGUGACUAAUGUCUCCAGACUCUGCAGUUACAUAGUCCAGCAGGUGCCCCUGCUUUGACCUGGGAUGCAUGCAUGUUUUCUUCUGUGCGCUGGGCUGUUGGAAGACUGUAUUGUACUGUAUAAUGUAGGUUGUUAAGCUUUAGCUCAUUUUAAACCAUUAUAAACGAGGUGAACAAAUUCACUCUCACUUCAAGGACUGACCUGUAUUCCUUACUGUGACUUGCCUCAUUCAGUGGAUCAAUUCAAGCUAACUAGAGAAUAGGUCUCUCUUUUUCUUAUAAUCUCCACCCAAAUGACUCACCAGGCACAUCUGGCCUUUUGAAGGAGUCCCUCUUUCUCUCUCUCUGUCUGGCAGGAUCCUGCAACAUUGCUAUGCCUUUUGUCUAGAAAAUGGGAGUGAUUUUCUCUUUAAGAAAGGCACAGAUCUCUACCACCACUAUCAACAUUAGUUACUUGUGCCAUGCUGUGGAACUAGACACUGUUUUUGGG
Molecule: non-coding RNA, 1777 nt
Organism: Pelodiscus sinensis (Chinese soft-shelled turtle)
Lineage: Eukaryota; Metazoa; Chordata; Testudines; Trionychidae
Source: RefSeq, a predicted model, not a curated record